CACACAAAACCCUCCCAAGGAAACAGAACAGAGAGAGAGAAGGCUGAGUCGCGGCGGGGGAGAGGAGAAGGGAGCUCGCCGUCGCGCCACCACGCCACCACCUCACGCCUUGCCACUGGGCCACACGCCUCGCCGCCGUCAUCUUCGCGAGAAUGAAGGAAGCUCUUGCUGCCACUGCUGCUCGUAUAACCGACGCCGUCGCGGGUUAGAACUCAGGCGUGAGAGAAGGUCGCGAAGAAGGAGGGAACUGCGCCGCUCAGCCGCCGUCUGAGAAGCCUGGGUCACCAUUCUGCCUCGCCAUCACCACGGAAGCUGCACCCAGCCCAGCCGCGCCGCCUUCCCUGCGCCGUUGUAGAGCAGAUCUGAGGCGAAGGAGAUGACCGCGAUGGGAGGAAAGAGUCACGCCACCCAGUCGCUGACCUGCUCGCCGCCAGCGUCGCUGGUGUCGUCGCCGGAGAGGACCACUGGAGUUGCUGUCUGCCUCUGCUGGGGUUCGUCGCCAUCGGAGUUUCCCUGGCCGACAGAUGUGACCGCCGCCCUCCUAGCCGCCGCUGUUGGGGUCUCACCGCCGCCGGAAAAAGGUUCUGGCCGCCGCAGGAGUCACUGUCAAAGGGGGACGCUGUGCCUCUGUGUUUCUGACUGCCGGAGAUGGUUCUAUGACUUCCGGGAUCACCGCUGAAGCUUCAGGCAGAGUUUCUGCCACUUGAGACCUUGCUGCCGUCGCCGGAAAUGUUUGCCGGUAAGGGUUUCAUUUGAGGUUUCUGCCUUUUUGAUUUUCGAGAUGGUUUUGAUGCUGUGCGAUUUUUCUAGUUGACCCACCAGAGUUUCUGGCCGCCGCCGGAGCUGUUGCUGCCGCCGGUUCGAAAUCGCAAUUGCUUCGUUUCGCUAGUUCAGUUGAGGCGAAAAAGGACUCUGUGACGUGUUUGAGUUAUGGAAAUUGCGUUUUGAGGAUUUGGGCGCAGAAGUUAUGAAGAGUUUAUUUAGUUGUUGUUGAGAUGCUCUGUAUUGCUUUAGAUUAUUAUUUUUGUACCCUCGCCUUUAUUUUGAUAUAUUCUGUGAGAGGGAUAGGAAUUGUACUGGAUAAUGUUUGUAAUAUUAUUUAUAUAUAUGUAUGUAUAUAUAUACGGAUGUACUCUUUAUGAGUUUUUGUAAGUUGUAUGGUAUGUAUGGAUGUACGUUGUAUAGCAAAAGUAUUUUUGGGAGCGGUAUUGCGGUUUAAAGUUUUUAAACAGGCUCAUAUUUUAGUAUUAAAUAGUAUAAGUGUCGUCGUAAUGUCCGAGCUAUCAGAGUUGCGCAGCCGGAAGCGUGAGCUUUGGUAGUUAGGGUGUUACACCUUUAAUUUGCAGAUAAUUAUUUUAUUAACUCUAAUAUUUUUUAUAUUUGUAAAGACCAAAUUAAAAAAUAAAAAAUAAUAUAGAAACUCAAUUUAAAAAAA
Molecule: long non-coding RNA, 1435 nt
Organism: Arachis duranensis
Lineage: Eukaryota; Viridiplantae; Streptophyta; Magnoliopsida; Fabales; Fabaceae
Exons: 3
Source: RefSeq, a predicted model, not a curated record